GACGAACGCUGGCGGCGUGCUUAACACAUGCAAGUCGAACGGAAAGGCCCUGCUUUUGUGGGGUGCUCGAGUGGCGAACGGGUGAGUAACACGUGGGUAACCUGCCCUUGACUUUGGGAUAACUUCAGGAAACUGGGGCUAAUACCGGAUAGGAGCUCCUGCUGCAUGGUGGGGGUUGGAAAGUUUCGGCGGUUGGGGAUGGACGCGCGGCUUAUCAGCCUGUUGGUGGGGUAGUGGCUUACCAAGGCUUUGACGGGUAGCCGGCCUGAGAGGGUGACCGGCCACAUUGGGACUGAGAUACGGCCCAGACUCCUACGGGAGGCAGCAGUGGGGAAUAUUGCACAAUGGGCGGAAGCCUGAUGCAGCAACGCCGCGUGCGGGAUGACGGCCUUCGGGUUGUAAACCGCUUUCGCCUGUGACGAAGCGUGAGUGACGGUAAUGGGUAAAGAAGCACCGGCUAACUACGUG
RNAcentral lists this ribosomal RNA (468 nucleotides) under uncultured bacterium. RNAcentral's name for it is "partial 16S ribosomal RNA". It matches the Rfam family "Bacterial small subunit ribosomal RNA", at positions 28 to 507 of the family's 1533-position model. The record is from RNAcentral.